GAUGAACGCUGGCGGCGUGCUUAACACAUGCAAGUCGAACGGAAAGGCCAGUGCUUGCACUGGUACUCGAGUGGCGAACGGGUGAGUAACACGUGGGUGAUCUGCCCUGCACUUCGGGAUAAGCCUGGGAAACUGGGUCUAAUACCGGAUAGGACAAUGGUUUGGAUGCCGUUGUGGAAAGUUUUUUCGGUGUUGGAUGAGCUCGCGGCCUAUCAGCUUGUUGGUGGGGUAAUGGCCUACCAAGGCGUCGACGGGUAGCCGGCCUGAGAGGGUGUACGGCCCCUUUGGGACUGAGAUCCGGACCAGACUCCUACGGGAGGCAGCAGUGGGGAAUAUUGCACAAUGGGCGCAAGCCUGAUGCAGCGACGCCGCGUGGGGGAUGACGGCCUUCGGGUUGUAAACUCCUUUCGCUAGGGACGAAGCGUAUUUGUGACGGUACCUGGAGAAGAAGCACCGGCUAACUACGUG
Molecule: ribosomal RNA, 468 nt
Filed under: uncultured bacterium
Lineage: Bacteria
Description: partial 16S ribosomal RNA
Rfam family: Bacterial small subunit ribosomal RNA
Source: RNAcentral